AGCAUGCGGAUUAAUUCGAUGCAACGCGAAGAACCUUACCAAGGCUUGACAUACACCAGAACACCGUAGAAAUACGGGACUCUUUGGACACUGGUGAACAGGUGGUGCAUGGUUGUCGUCAGCUCGUGUCGUGAGAUGUUGGGUUAAGUCCCGCAACGAGCGCAACCCUCGUUCUAUGUUGCCAGCACGUAAUGGUGGGAACUCAUGGGAUACUGCCGGGGUCAACUCGGAGGAAGGUGGGGAUGACGUCAAAUCAUCAUGCCCCUUAUGUCUUGGGCUUCACGCAUGCUACAAUGGCCGGUACAAAGGGCUGCAAUACCGUAAGGUGGAGCGAAUCCCAAAAAGCCGGUCCCAGUUCGGAUUGAGGUCUGCAACUCGACCUCAUGAAGUCGGAGUCGCUAGUAAUCGCAGAUCAGCAACGCUGCGGUGAAUACGUUCCCGGGUCUUGUACACACCGCCCGUCAAGUCAUGAAAGUCGGUAAC
This 483-nucleotide ribosomal RNA is filed under the name Microbacterium sp. RNAcentral describes it as "bacterial SSU rRNA". It matches the Rfam family "Bacterial small subunit ribosomal RNA", at positions 936 to 1418 of the family's 1533-position model. Lineage: Bacteria; Bacillati; Actinomycetota; Actinomycetes; Micrococcales; Microbacteriaceae. The record is from RNAcentral.